Molecule: long non-coding RNA, 2400 nt
Organism: Cucumis sativus (cucumber)
Lineage: Eukaryota; Viridiplantae; Streptophyta; Magnoliopsida; Cucurbitales; Cucurbitaceae
Exons: 5
Source: RefSeq, a predicted model, not a curated record
AAUCCUCUUUCUUUUCUUUUCUUUUUUUCUUAAAUUUAAUUUAUAUUUGUUAAGUUGCUUGAUUAAUUAGCAGCUAUUUUGUUUUUGGUGUUUGGUUUUUUAAAAGUAAGGUUACCUUUUUUUUUGAAUCAUGGUUUGAAAUUCAAUUUCAAGUAUAAAAGUUCCAUUUUUGGUCAAACUUCAUUAAAGAAAGAAUAAAGUUUGAAUAACUAUUUUUUCUUUUGUAUUUUGGUUUGGUUUUUAUGAAAGAGAUUUAGGAGUUUUGGCUUAGUUUUUGAACAUGAAUAAAAAGUAGAAGAGAUUUAGGAGUCUAUAUUCAUGAGUUUAAUUUUAAAGAAUCUGUAAAUAGGUUUCAUCUAGUACCGAAAUAUCUAUAAUUAAAAGUGCAGCAAACCCAGGAAGCUGAAGAUGAAACAUAGUAGAACUUAGGUUGCUGACAGUGGAUGAAAUUCUUUUGUAGUGGAAAGCAAAUGAAGCAACUCCACUUGCCCUGAUAAAAUCUAUACAUAGGGAGGGAAGGGGAGGGGUGUUGCUUUUUUUUUUUUUUUUUUUUGUUGGGUGUAACAGAAAAAUGGUCAUACAACCUUGAUGAAUGAUAGGGUUAACCAAUUUUUUUUUGCUAGUGUACAGAAGGAAAAAAAAAAAAGAAAACGAAAAAUGAUGGUAGUUAGUUUGGUGAAGGCUUGUGGAGGAAGAAAGUGUUUGGGUAAAGAAAGCUUUACAAAAUUUUGUUCUCGGCUUUAAAUUCCAUAGUGUAUUUUGCUUUGACUUUAUUGGUGUGUUUUUUUUCAUCCAAAUGAUGUAAUUCUUUGAAUUUGUGAUCAUGGAUGUUUUAAAUUUGAACAUGAUUGUGGGUUUGAAGAGAGAAAUUGAAUAUAGCAAUUAUAAUGUUGGGUUGGUAGUUUAAUAUCAAUGUUAAAUAUGUAGAAAACAUUCUGUUUGCCAUUGUUCUAAAAGAACGUUCUGUUAGUAAGAUGAAUAGAUAACUCUUGAAGGUUCAAAUUUAAUAUUUAAACGGUAAUUCAUUUGUGGUAGGAGGGGAUCGAACCUCUGCAACCUUUGGAGAGACAUGUCAUUUACCACCAAGUUAUACUCUUUUUUAGAUAUAAACGAAUACCAAACAGUGAUAGAUGGAUCAGAUUCAGUACUCUGAGAAGUACUUCAACGACAUUUAUGAGUACAGGCACGUGGUUCUCCCACCCGAAGUGGCAAAGUUGCUUCCUAAGAAUCGUCUGCUCUCGGAAGCAAGCAAUUUUGUUUUCUUAGUUUCAAAUUUAUGUGUCUCGAUUUUGUUACGAAAGGAAGUAUUAUCUGAUUGAUUGGGAAGAAACUUAGUUCAGUAGUUGAAUUCUUAUUUUCGGUUUAGGUAUCACUCUUGAGAGAUCUUAUGAAAUAGAUAUUAUUCUGUGGACAGUUUUUUCCCCUAUUUCUAAUCUUUUAUAUUUUCAUAUGAUCUUGAUAUUCUCUCUUUGAUUUGGCUGAUGGUUGCAUGAAGUUGAAACAAUGUUUUUGAGUAUUUCAGAUAGAAGUUAGAUGAAAAAGGAUUGAGAAUUUAGGGUCCCGAACCUCAUAUCAUGUUAUUCAUGAGGCCCCUGAACUACCAACAACAGCAGGAGAAUCGCACUCAACAAAAUGUGCUCGCUUCUAAAUAAUGAUUGCUUCAUUUUACUGAUUUUGUGAAGUGCUACUAUCCAGAAAGAAAGAAGUUAAUAUUCAGUCAUAAGCAUAUAAUGGUUUUAAAAUGAAAUAUUCUGGUGUUUGUGGUCAAUUUUCUUGCUUAGUAAAUAUGCAGGAGUUUCUAUGUUUACCUUGAACUUUGUAUGUUUGUAGAGGAGGCUUAUAUAUAUGCAUAUGCUCUGUAUCUUUGCUGGACACUGCGGUUCCUUGAAUUUAGAAGGAAAAAUGGGUUUUAUGGAUCUUGAUUCUUAACUUUCUGUGUAGAGGUGAAUUAUUUUUAUGUUGUGUGACUUCCAAAUGCUAUUAUUUUUAGAACAAAAGAUGGAUUUUGUUGAUUGUGAAUCAUGAUCGUGCUCCUUUUCUUUUAAUGGGUGUAUGCUAGUUUCUCAUUUUUGCAACAUCCAGUCUUGAGUAUUUGUACCACUUUAGUAAACUGCUUGCUGCCACAUACAUCUAACAUUUGGAUGAUGUGAAAUUUGUUUUAAAUUCUUUGGUUUAUGAUUUAGGCCAAAGAGAUUGGAAUGGUAUAAAUGAAGCUCAACGGCCUGGGUAUUGAGAAGAUAUUGUGUAAUUCAUUUGGUACAACUUUUGGGAAAAAAAUUUCUUCUAUAAUAUAACAAGCUAAAGACAAGAUCAACCUCCCAAGAUCCUAGCUAAAAGGUUCAACCGGAGUCGACAACUUCAUGAGUUUUCUUUCAAAGAACAUUUUCAGAGACGAACAUU